ACCGUCUAUCAUAGCUGCUUGUGGCAUUAACACAUCAUGGGUGGUUAAAUGGCAAUAAAAUAUUCAGUCAAGCAUUGACAGAUACAUAGAAAAUACAGUAACAGAAAAACAUUGAUGCCAAAUUCCUUGCAAUAUGUCUAGAGGCUGCACAUUAGCAUUGUGAUUUAUUCUAUUACCAUCCUCACCAUUAGUUUUUUUGUUGCACUGGCAGUGGCAGAUUCAAUACCAGCCUGAGAUUAGUGUGGCACAUGUUGGAUAUAGGUUGAGAUUGGUGUGGCACGUGUUGAGUACAGGUUGACCCCAGAGGGUAAAUAGGAGAAUAUUGUACAGAACAAGCAAAAGCAAAUAGCAUAAAUGUGCAAAUAUCUAUAAAUGGAGUUUGGUCCUUGUAGGAAUUACCAGUAAGAUCUAUAGGCCUUUUGGGUUCGCAACAAAGACCCACUCAGUCUUCUGUGUCAUUCUUAUGCAACCAAUAUUUAUUACUACACAUACGCAGGUAUGAGGGUAAGGACAACAAUAGAAGUAUACAUCCUACAAGCAAAAACAUGGAACAAUGUUAAACUUAUAUUGCUCAUUCCAAAAAUCAGCCCAGCAUUGUUGAAUGCUUGAAUGAGCUGUAGAGAAAAAUUCUUAUGGCACUGCUAUAUACAUAAUCAAUACCUAUUAGACAAUAAAACUAAAGGAUGUGUCCACGUAGAUGCAUGAUUAAACCGGCUCUGAUUCAGAUUAUUUCAGUGGCAUUUAAUUGAACACCUACUGGGCAAAAUACAGUAUGUCCAGACAAUAAAGGAACUUGCUUUGUCAACCAAAUUGCAGAAACAAAACAAUGAAUUGGAAGGGGGAGAAGAGAUUGAAACCACUAAAUGAUAUGAUUCCGGUAAAUGGCAGUAGAACCAUGGUGCCACCAGAGGCAAUGCCCUCCACUGCGUCGCAGCGUCAGAAGUGCCACAAGUGGAGGUCCCUCACGACACGAUGGAG
This 978-nucleotide long non-coding RNA is filed under the name Oryza sativa (Asian cultivated rice). RNAcentral describes it as "long non-coding RNA (OSAT_LNC001580)". The record is from RNAcentral. Lineage: Eukaryota; Viridiplantae; Streptophyta; Magnoliopsida; Poales; Poaceae.